Molecule: long non-coding RNA, 432 nt
Organism: Xenia sp. Carnegie-2017
Lineage: Eukaryota; Metazoa; Cnidaria; Anthozoa; Malacalcyonacea; Xeniidae
Exons: 3
Source: RefSeq, a predicted model, not a curated record
AGAUAAGCUUGUGACUAGGAGCAUGUAAAGUUUAAUUCACUACAGUCUCAUUUCACAAAAAUCCAUAAUUGUUAUGAUUUCAGGUGACUAAGGAUUCACAUGUCUUAUUUGCACUGAAGAAUUAGGAAGAAGAAGCUGAAAAGGAUGUAGAAGAACAAAACGAAUAUUGAGGGGGCGAGGGAUUUGUUGAAAUUCUAUGUAAAGUUUUGGUAGUGGUGACAUAUAUGAAAGAGAACCAGUAUUUUUUAUAUUUAUCAGGGGAGUGAAUAAUGAAAAUGAUUUUCGAGUAGAAGAUUUUACAUCCUUGGCAUCCUUGUGGCAUCCUUGUUUUGAUAGCCGGUUCCAGACCCCCCUUUCUCCUCCAGAUCUUGAUGCUAUUCUUGAAAGCUGUCAGUCGGUUAUUGGAGAAGUUGAUACUGGGCCAUUUGCUUG